This 29-nucleotide small RNA is filed under the name Bombyx mori (domestic silkworm). RNAcentral's name for it is "ovarian small RNA-28610". Lineage: Eukaryota; Metazoa; Arthropoda; Insecta; Lepidoptera; Bombycidae. The record is from RNAcentral.
UCGCAGUGGGGUUUAGUCUGUAAAGAGAC